UGAUAAAACUAUUUAAAAUCGAUUUCGU
This 28-nucleotide small RNA is filed under the name Bombyx mori (domestic silkworm). RNAcentral describes it as "ovarian small RNA-32308". Lineage: Eukaryota; Metazoa; Arthropoda; Insecta; Lepidoptera; Bombycidae. The record is from RNAcentral.